CAGUCGCCGCGGGAAUACGUAGGGUGCGAGCGUUAAUCGGAAUUACUGGGCGUAAAGCGUGCGCAGGCGGUUGUGUAAGACAGGUGUGAAAUCCCCGGGCUUAACCUGGGAACUGCGCUUGUGACUGCACAGCUAGAGUAUGGCAGAGGGGGGUGGAAUUCCACGUGUAGCAGUGAAAUGCGUAGAGAUGUGGAGGAACACCGAGGGCGAAGGCAGCCCCCUGGGCCAAUACUGACGCUCAUGCACGAAAGCGUGGGGAGCAAACAGGAUUAGAUACCCCCGUAGUCCCUGUCUCUUAUAA
RNAcentral lists this ribosomal RNA (301 nucleotides) under uncultured bacterium. Its description in RNAcentral is "partial 16S ribosomal RNA". It matches the Rfam family "Bacterial small subunit ribosomal RNA", at positions 509 to 809 of the family's 1533-position model. The record is from RNAcentral.